Cyphomyrmex costatus is the source of this 364-nucleotide long non-coding RNA. RefSeq lists it as uncharacterized. NCBI's taxonomy places the organism in Eukaryota, Metazoa, Arthropoda, Insecta, Hymenoptera, Formicidae. The record is from RefSeq and is a predicted model, not a curated record. The transcript has 4 exons.
UUUACUUGUUGGGAGGAGACUCACCUCAAGAGCAAAUAAAGCACAGUCUACAAAAAAUAAUAUCCAACAAGUUAGCAAUGAAGUUUUCCUGGAAAGGCCAGAAAGGAAAUUUCGCAAUAAACUCACUAUUAAUAAUUAAUAUCAUUAAAAAUGCUGCUCGAAAACAUUUUCCGACGUUGACAGACAAAGGAAUGCAAAAUUUUACCUCGUCUUGGCUGAAAUAUGCAAAAACACGGCAUGAUAGAGAGAAGGUAAAAACUACAAGCCGCCAAAAAUUGUUGAAAAAUUGAAAAAUAAUUGAAGGAAUUGACGGGACAUCAAGCUUAGGAGAAAAAACAUUUUCGAGCGUGUUAAUAAAGGGCCA